AGUGCUGAGGGAAAAUCAGAGGGUUUCAUGUACUCAGAGGAAAAGUGUGGAACUAUAAAUGCUAACUCGGUAACUCCCCAGGAAUGAGCAUGUGCCAUGCUGAGACUGAAUGCAUCAUUAGCAAAUCCCUGAGGCAGAUCUCUAUUUCAGACUGCACAGUAUAACAGCUCCAGGGAACGUACAGAGACACCGAGGAUGCUGAUAAUUUCACAGUUUCUGCUUCCCUGUGAGGCAGAAAAUAGAAAAGCUAUGAAGCUCUUUCCCAGGAACACAAAAGUAAUGUUUUCCAGGGCGAUCAAAAGCUGGAGAAGAUAGGUUUGUUGUCUGUAAACUGAGAGAAAAGGGAACACUAUCGUCUGCUGCCAUCGCUGCAAGAGACAUCACUCAGCUGAUCAAGCAAGCUGAAGCAAUACAGCUGGCCCCUUGCAGAGGAGACGCUGAGGGAUGCAAAGCUGGCUUGGGCGAACGGAGAUCUCAGGGUCACGUACAGCCCACAGGGGAUUCACUCUGUGUCAGUGUCUCCUGCAGCAGCACAGGCUAUCGAUGCACGUCACACGUCUGCCCUUCAUCGCCAGCAACCCCUGGGAAAGACUUUGAGACAAGGUUACAAAUCCAAACUGCCCAGCUGACUCAAGCUAGGAGCCUCCAAUUUAUCCACGGGCUUCUUCUGGCACAGAACCCACACGUCGUGCAAAGGACAGCUGUGAGUUCAUGGCGUUGUGCAGAGCUCUGCUCAUCCACCACUGACUUGAUCUUGUGAUUUUUGGAGCACGCUGUGGACGUGCAGCAAUGCAUUCUUAGUACUGAGAAGAAACUUCAAGAAAUGGAUAUCUGGCAAGUACUUAAAGUCAGUUCUGAAGUGAUGCUAGAAAUACCACAUUUCUGGUCAGGCCUAUUACUGCAACAUCAAUGAUGCCUUUGUUCCUCGGUGCUUUUAUCCCUUACCCAAACAGCUCAUGAGAUGGCAGAUUGACUGGGAGCCCAAAAUUGCCAGGAGGGCAGUAGCUGUAAGGAUACCAAAUGUUGCCAGCCCUCUUCAAAAGAAAUUACCUUCUGACAAAUAACCUAUUCCUGACACGGCGUGAGCCUGAUAGCAUCACAGUUGACAAUAGAAGGUAGCACUGGUACAGAUUUAAACAUCUCCUCUUAAAAGCAGUUUGUAAUCUUGGCAUAGUUAAUAACUGCAGCACUCCGUGAAGUAAAUACUCAUUAGCCCCUGUUCUAACAACGUGGAGUGGUGUGGCUCUGUGUCAUCAGUGACUCAGCCACACAGGGUCAGUUUCAGUUUGGGGAGCUUCUUCUUUACAGCCCCAUUGCUCUUUUAGGAAAUCCGGAAUGGUGGGCCCCAACCAGGCCUUGGCACCCCCUGUUACAUGGGGCCAGAGGAAAUGAUGCCAUUUCAAAUACAUUCCUGAGGGCACCAAGUGGGGUACAGUCUGAGGACACAGGUUGUCCUGAUAUGUCCUCCUGGUCCUACCAGACACACCUGGUGGUAUCUUGGGCACUGGUUUUGAAGCUUUUUAUAUAGGAUAUGGCACGGUCUCAAAACACUGCUGUACAGUAGCAAGCCAUGCUACAGACCCCUUCCCUCCACAACAAAGUCCCUGUCUGACUCCACCCCCAGCUCAGAUAUUACUGCGUGGCAGACAUUUCCCAAGCAGUCAGACAUUAAUGUAACCCACAGCGAGCUGUUGUAUGUGCACAAGCUGCUGAUACAGGGAGUGAGGGAUUUCGUAAGGCCCGAGGAAUAAGAGCAGUGAUUAAACACAAUUCUCCUUAGUGCACCUAAGCAUAAUAGUCUCUUGAUGUUGGCAUCUCCUUUUGAAAUGCUAAUGGCCUUCUUCUGGUUAGCUCUUUAGGAUCAGCGAGUAAAGAGGCAUUAGGAAAUAAAAGUACCAUUCGUGUUGAUAUGAAAGAGUUGUUCUACCCUACAAUGCAACUGCAAAUGGCACAAAGGAGUUUUAUGUUUGUUGUCUCCCUGCAG
Molecule: long non-coding RNA, 1984 nt
Organism: Gallus gallus (chicken)
Lineage: Eukaryota; Metazoa; Chordata; Aves; Galliformes; Phasianidae
Source: Ensembl